AGCGGCGGACGGGUGAGUAACGCGUGGGUAACCUGCCUCAUACACAUGGAUAACAUACCGAAAGGUAUGCUAAUACAAGAUGAUAUAAGAGAUUCGCAUGGAUUUCUUAUCAAAGCUCCGGCGGUAUGAGGUGGACCCGCGUCUGAUUAGCUAGUUGGUAAGGUAACGGCUUACCAAGGCGACGAUCAGUAGCCGACCUGAGAGGGUGAUCGGCCACAUUGGAACUGAGACACGGUCCAAACUCCUACGGGAGGCAGCAGUGGGGAAUAUUGCACAAUGGGCGAAAGCCUGAUGCAGCAACGCCGCGUGAGCGAUGAAGGCCUUCGGGUCGUAAAGCCCUGUCCUCAAGGAAGAUAAUGACGGUACUUGAGGAGGAAGCCCCGGCUAACUACGUGCCAGCAGCCGCGGUAAUACGUAGGGGGCUAGCGUUAUCCGGAUUUACUGGGCGUAAAGGGUGCGUAGGUGGUUUCUUAAGUCAGGAGUGAAAGGCUACGGCUCAACCGUAGUAAGCUCUUGAAACUGGGAAACUUGAGUGCAGGAGAGGAAAGUGGAAUUCCUAGUGUAGCGGUGAAAUGCGUAGAUAUUAGGAGGAACACCAGUAGCGAAGGCGGCUUUCUGGACUGUAACUGACACUGAGGCACGAAAGCGUGGGGAGCAAACAGGAUUAGAUACCCUGGUAAUCCACGCCGUAAACGAUGAGUACUAGGUGU
This 710-nucleotide ribosomal RNA is filed under the name uncultured bacterium. Its description in RNAcentral is "bacterial SSU rRNA". It matches the Rfam family "Bacterial small subunit ribosomal RNA", at positions 94 to 823 of the family's 1533-position model. The record is from RNAcentral.